UACGGAGGGUGCGAGCGUUGUCCGGAAUCACUGGGCGUAAAGGGCGCGUAGGCGGCCUGUUAAGUAGGGGGUGAAAUCCUGCGGCUUAACCGCAGGGCUGCCUUCUAAACUGUCAGGCUCGAGCACAGUAGAGGCAGGUGGAAUUCCCGGUGUAGUGGUGGAAUGCGUAGAGAUCGGGAAGAACAUCAGUGGCGAAGGCGGCCUGCUGGGCUGUUCUUGACGCUGAGGCGCGAAAGCUAGGGGAGCAAACGGG
This 253-nucleotide ribosomal RNA is filed under the name uncultured bacterium. RNAcentral's name for it is "partial 16S ribosomal RNA". It matches the Rfam family "Bacterial small subunit ribosomal RNA", at positions 524 to 776 of the family's 1533-position model. The record is from RNAcentral.